GGGUGUAAACAUUUUUAGAGUGUGCACUCUAAAAACAGUUGCCCCCUUUGGGAUGUAUAUUUGUCCCACAACAAUAAUCGUCAUCUACCUUGCUUGCGUUUUCUUUCUUGAAAACUCGGCGCUCGCUACUGUCCUGUCCAGAAUGCUGUGUCACACUGAUAACGUGCAAGCCGCUCGUUACUGAGAAGUACCGGGCUCGCAGCGUUAAAGAAAGGAAACGCGGGCAAGACAGAUGACGAUUAUUGUUGUGGGACAAGAUAACCCCCAAAGGGUGUAAUUUUUUAAGAGUGUAAGACCUUUUUUAGAGUGCACUCUAAAGAAGGUUUACGCCCUUUGGGGUGUAUAUCUGCCUUGCUUGCACUGUACAAAAAGUUUACACCCUUUGAAGUGUAUAUUUGCCGGGCUCGCCGCGUUAAAUAAAUGAAAUGCGGACAAGACAGAUGACGAUUAUCGUUGUGUGGCAAAAUGGUGUAAUUUUGGCCUUAAGAGUCUGGUCGCGAAACUCUCGAAUGAGUCCGAAACAAAGUGAUUUGAAGUGUGGACACAGAACACCUGUGUGGAUACACUUUUUUUGUAAGUAAACAAUUCACCCUAUUUCAGUUACAGCGACGGCUGCACGGCGUUGGGGCAUGGCAACAUGAGUGGAAAAAAAUGUGAUGCUCCGGAGCCGUCCUUAAGCUCAUGAACCUCAAAGUCUGGCUGUGAUUGGUGUAAAUAAUCAGUUAUGGACAUGUUUAUAGACGCCUUUGCCAUUAGCAACAAGUGGGGAGGGAGGCCUUUCUCCAUUUGUCGUUCCGUACGAGACGUUCAUUUGAGGGAUCGCCAGCCAUUUGUGCGCAGGCGCGAGUAAGAGCGGGAGCGAGAGAGAGAAAAUCUGAGCUUUUGCUCCUUGAAUGAUAUGACUGCCAAGGCCGGAGGAGGUUUCUUAGCGCGUGUUGUAGGCGUGCCGGCAUUGCGGAGGAGGGUCGAGUUUGUUUGCGCUCGGAUGCUGGCUGCCGGUGAAGCAGCGGGGACUGACGCCCGAUUUGGCGACCGCUGUGUCGGACAGACUGUCUCGCACCUGCGGCGCUCAGUCAGUCGUGGCGGAUAAUAGCUUUCUGGCGCCUUACGGCGAUGUAUUUUGGUUCUUUAUUUUAUGGAUGUACCCUGUAAAUAACAUCACAGAUGUUUAUGUGGGAGCAUCAGCGACUGUAGUGGAGCACGGGCCGCAUAUAUUGAAAAUCUAGCAACCGCGGUUGAGCGCAAGUGGCUGCUGAAAGGCCGCCGGUGGCGAUGACUGACUCAGCACCAGCGCUGCAGGCGCGAGAAAGUCUGUCCGACGUACCUUCAGGGGCAAAGUUCUGACUGGUGUUGUAGAAGUCGCGGUAGGGCUGCUUAUAUUGACUGUGUAUGCAUGCAUGCACCUAUCGAACUUCGUGCACAUAUAGACGUGAUGCUUUGAAGAUAAAUGCUUAUUAAAAUUCAAAUUAUUUAUUUCUGCCUUGUAAAGGUACAGACAGCAGAGGCGCAGAAAAAGCUGUCAGAUACAGAUUGACAAAGCCGCAGCCCCCUUUCGCUUGGCAGAGCCUUUACAGCGACACUUUUAAAACAAAGACAAUUGCACCCGGUAAUAACAGGUAUACAAUACUGAGCAAGUACAAAAGGAAACCAAUCAAGAUUAUACGAUAUUUGUACAAUACUCCCAAACAAGAAAACAGAACCUACAUGCUAACGUACAUAGCACCCAAAGUACUGUUCGACGCGUUGAAGAGGUCAAAAUUAUUGUUCACAUAAGGUAUAUACAUAUUCGUAUAGCGCUACCAAUCCCUGCAAAAUAUAGAACGCAGAUUUUCAUUACACACACGCACGCACGCACGUGCACAGCACACACACCAAAAGGAAACGGCAACGCGCUCACAGGAAGCGCCUGAAAAACGAAAAAAAAGGAAAAGUGUGGGGAACCGAGGUCGUCUUGGGCUGUCGCCUCUCCCUCUCCCAGAAGGAUUGAAGAGGUUCUUGGAAAGCAGGGACGGGCGAUUCUCUCUGUCAGCAUCAGCUCCCACCAGCGAGGACGGGGCGAGAAAGCGAAACGGGGCUUUCCUUGCUGUCUAUUUUUUCUUCGUCAGGCCAACGCCGCCUGCUCACAGGGGCGCAGGCGAGUUCCGGCCAAAUGGCGCGGGGGCGCAAGCAGUUGCGUGAGUUGCCGCCAAAUAGCUCUGGAUGCCAGCUCGUUCCGCGUCUCUUGGUAGACUAGUUGGUGCAUUUCUGCUAUCAUGGACUGCGCAUAUAAACGCAAACUACACAAAAGUGACAUGGACAAGAACAGCGCAAGCCCUUUCCAUGCAGUGGAGCCGCCGUAUCUCGCCGUUCAAGAUAUGCGUACUCGAAGAAAAAAAAAAAGAGGCUUUACAUGAGAACGGAUCAAGCGUUCGAGAGUUGGGACAGGGAAAUGUGAGACGUACUUUCAUGUAUAUAUUUCUAAUAUUAUUUUUUCGUCUUGUAUUCUCGUUAAUUUUUCUCUAGGAAACACUGGAACGACACUGCUUAAAUUGAAGCACAGUGUGCGAAUGACCUGCUACGCUCGGAACUGUUAUCACCAUUCAGGAAGAAAUUGGAUGAAAAAACAUAACUGUAAAUACCUGUAUGAUAUACGUCUGGUGCAUUGCAGGUAAGAAUGGAUUGUGUGUGGCGCGCUUCACCGCAUGUGGACUAGAGUAGAUCUAGGAACAUCAGACAAGAAGACACGUAUGUGAAACCCUGCAGAUAGCCCAUAUGUGAACUUUUUUUCCAGAUACGGAGGAACGGACACCGGUCGUGCCGUGAGCACUAUUCUGCAGGGCAUUGUUGGAUAUCGCACCGCUGGCACGAGUUGUUGGGGUCUCGGUGCUGACGCCCGUUAUUGCCAAUGGGUCGCAAUCUCCAAGGGUAGCGUUGGCCUGGCGGCCUGGGGCACUGGAAGCAUCCGAAGGUCCCGGCAAAGCAUGAGAAGACUGCAUCUGUGAGGAGCACGUUCCCUGACGCUUCACUAGCAUCAGUGGCUGGAGUCGCAAAACGCCGGUUGGUUGGAGCAGCUGACAGGGAUGGAGGCCGGAAUGAAAGAAGGCGCCGUGACCCUGCUUCAAGCCCACCAAAUAUGAACUAGUGUUUGAAACUUGUGAACGUGUCGGUGUACAUAUACAAUUACAAGAAAUAAAGACCUGUAUCAGAA
Molecule: long non-coding RNA, 3187 nt
Organism: Dermacentor andersoni
Lineage: Eukaryota; Metazoa; Arthropoda; Arachnida; Ixodida; Ixodidae
Source: RefSeq, a predicted model, not a curated record